RNAcentral lists this ribosomal RNA (495 nucleotides) under uncultured bacterium. Its description in RNAcentral is "partial 16S ribosomal RNA". It matches the Rfam family "Bacterial small subunit ribosomal RNA", at positions 28 to 523 of the family's 1533-position model. The record is from RNAcentral.
GAUGAACGCUGGCGGCGUGCUUAACACAUGCAAGUCGAGCGAAGCACUUAGGAAAGAUUCUUCGGAUGAUUUCCUAUUUGACUGAGCGGCGGACGGGUGAGUAACGCGUGGGUAACCUGCCUCAUACAGGGGGAUAACAGUUAGAAAUGACUGCUAAUACCGCAUAAGACCACAGCACCGCAUGGUGCAGGGGUAAAAACUCCGGUGGUAUGAGAUGGACCCGCGUCUGAUUAGUUAGUUGGUGGGGUAACGGCCUACCAAGGCGACGAUCAGUAGCCGACCUGAGAGGGUGACCGGCCACAUUGGGACUGAGACACGGCCCAAACUCCUACGGGAGGCAGCAGUGGGGAAUAUUGCACAAUGGGGGAAACCCUGAUGCAGCGACGCCGCGUGAGCGAAGAAGUAUUUCGGUAUGUAAAGCUCUAUCAGCAGGGAAGAAAAUGACGGUACCUGACUAAGAAGCCCCGGCUAACUACGUGCCAGCCGCCGCGGUAA